AGUCGAGCGGAUGAAGAGAGCUUGCUCUCUGAUUCAGCGGCGGACGGGUGAGUAAUGCCUAGGAAUCUGCCUGGUAGUGGGGGACAACGUCUCGAAAGGGACGCUAAUACCGCAUACGUCCUACGGGAGAAAGCAGGGGACCUUCGGGCCUUGCGCUAUCAGAUGAGCCUAGGUCGGAUUAGCUAGUUGGUGAGGUAAUGGCUCACCAAGGCGACGAUCCGUAACUGGUCUGAGAGGAUGAUCAGUCACACUGGAACUGAGACACGGUCCAGACUCCUACGGGAGGCAGCAGUGGGGAAUAUUGGACAAUGGGCGAAAGCCUGAUCCAGCCAUGCCGCGUGUGUGAAGAAGGUCUUCGGAUUGUAAAGCACUUUAAGUUGGGAGGAAGGGCAGUAAGCGAAUACCUUGCUGUUUUGACGUUACCGACAGAAUAAGCACCGGCUAACUCUGUGCCAGCAGCCGCGGUAAUACAGAGGGUGCAAGCGUUAAUCGGAAUUACUGGGCGUAAAGCGCGCGUAGGUGGUUUGUUAAGUUGAAUGUGAAAUCCCCGGGCUCAACCUGGGAACUGCAUCCAAAACUGGCAAGCUAGAGUAGGGCAGAGGGUGGUGGAAUUUCCUGUGUAGCGGUGAAAUGCGUAGAUAUAGGAAGGAACACCAGUGGCGAAGGCGACCACCUGGGCUCAUACUGACACUGAGGUG
RNAcentral lists this ribosomal RNA (698 nucleotides) under bacterium 70-L049660-122-017-F09. RNAcentral's name for it is "bacterial SSU rRNA". It matches the Rfam family "Bacterial small subunit ribosomal RNA", at positions 60 to 753 of the family's 1533-position model. The record is from RNAcentral.